This 462-nucleotide ribosomal RNA is filed under the name uncultured bacterium. RNAcentral describes it as "partial 16S ribosomal RNA". It matches the Rfam family "Bacterial small subunit ribosomal RNA", at positions 28 to 507 of the family's 1533-position model. The record is from RNAcentral.
GACGAACGCUGGCGGCGUGCUUAACACAUGCAAGUCGAGCGGAAAGGCCCUUCGGGGUACUCGAGCGGGGAACGGGUGAGUAAGACGUUAAUAACCUGCCCUAGACUUUGGGAUAACGCGCGGAAACGGGGGCUAAUACCGGAUACUCCUUCUAAAUCGCAAAACGUGGGUGGCAAUGGUUUGCGGUCUGUGAUGGACUCGCUGUCGAUCAGCUUGUUGGUGGGGUAAUGGCUGACCAAGGCGAGGACGGGUAGCCGGCCUGUGAGGGCGACCGGCCACACUGGUACUGAGAGACGGCCCAGACUGCUACGGGAGGCAGCAGGCGAGAAUAUUGCACAAUGGGCGGAAGUCUGAUGCAGCGACGCCGCGUUAGGGAUGACGGCCUUCGGGUUGUAAACCUCUUUCAGCAGGGACGAAGCGUAAGUGACGGUACCUGCACAAGAAGCGACGGCCAACUACGUG